RNAcentral lists this ribosomal RNA (872 nucleotides) under uncultured Bacillota bacterium. RNAcentral's name for it is "bacterial SSU rRNA". It matches the Rfam family "Bacterial small subunit ribosomal RNA", at positions 1 to 887 of the family's 1533-position model. The record is from RNAcentral. Lineage: Bacteria; Bacillati; Bacillota.
GGAUCCAGACUUUGAUUCUGGCUCAGGACGAACGCUGGCGGCGCGCCUAACACAUGCAAGUCGAACGAGCGAGAGAGAGCUUGCUUUCUCGAGCGAGUGGCGAACGGGUGAGUAACGCGUGAGGAACCUGCCUCAAAGAGGGGGACAACAGUUGGAAACGACUGCUAAUACCGCAUAAGCCCACGACCCGGCAUCGGGUAGAGGGAAAAGGAGCAAUCCGCUUUGAGAUGGCCUCGCGUCCGAUUAGCUAGUUGGUGAGGUAACGGCCCACCAAGGCGACGAUCGGUAGCCGGACUGAGAGGUUGAACGGCCACAUUGGGACUGAGACACGGCCCAGACUCCUACGGGAGGCAGCAGUGGGGAAUAUUGCACAAUGGGGGAAACCCUGAUGCAGCGACGCCGCGUGGAGGAAGAAGGUCUUCGGAUUGUAAACUCCUGUUGUUGAGGAAGAUAAUGACGGUACUCAACAAGGAAGUGACGGCUAACUACGUGCCAGCAGCCGCGGUAAAACGUAGGUCACAAGCGUUGUCCGGAAUUACUGGGUGUAAAGGGAGCGCAGGCGGGAAGACAAGUUGGAAGUGAAAUCCAUGGGCUCAACCCAUGAACUGCUUUCAAAACUGUUUUUCUUGAGUAGUGCAGAGGUAGGCGGAAUUCCCGGUGUAGCGGUGGAAUGCGUAGAUAUCGGGAGGAACACCAGUGGCGAAGGCGGCCUACUGGGCACCAACUGACGCUGAGGCUCGAAAGUGUGGGUAGCAAACAGGAUUAGAUACCCUGGUAGUCCACACUGUAAACGAUGAUUACUAGGUGUUGGAGGAUUGACCCCUUCAGUGCCGCAGUUAACACAAUAAGUAAUCCACCUGGGGAGUACGACC